CUGGCUCAGAUUGAACGCUGGCGGCAUGCUUUACACAUGCAAGUCGAACGGCAGCGGGGGCUUCGGCCUGCCGGCGAGUGGCGAACGGGUGAGUAAUGCAUCGGAACGUGCCCAUGUCGUGGGGGAUAACGUAGCGAAAGCUACGCUAAUACCGCAUACGCCCUGAGGGGGAAAGCGGGGGAUUCUUCGGAACCUCGCGCGAUUGGAGCGGCCGAUGUCGGAUUAGCUAGUAGGUGAGGUAAAGGCUCACCUAGGCGACGAUCCGUAGCGGGUCUGAGAGGAUGAUCCGCCACACUGGGACUGAGACACGGCCCAGACUCCUACGGGAGGCAGCAGUGGGGAAUUUUGGACAAUGGGCGCAAGCCUGAUCCAGCCAUGCCGCGUGAGUGAAGAAGGCCUUCGGGUUGUAAAGCUCUUUCGGCCGGGAAGAAAUCGUGGUCUCUAACAUAGGCC
RNAcentral lists this ribosomal RNA (453 nucleotides) under Thauera sp. R-28292. RNAcentral describes it as "bacterial SSU rRNA". It matches the Rfam family "Bacterial small subunit ribosomal RNA", at positions 19 to 474 of the family's 1533-position model. Lineage: Bacteria; Pseudomonadati; Pseudomonadota; Betaproteobacteria; Rhodocyclales; Zoogloeaceae. The record is from RNAcentral.